UACGUAGGGUGCAAGCGUUAAUCGGAAUUACUGGGCGUAAAGCGUGCGCAGGCGGUGAUGUAAGACAGGUGUGAAAUCCCCGGGCUUAACCUGGGAACUGCAUUUGUGACUGCAUCGCUGGAGUGCGGCAGAGGGGGAUGGAAUUCCGCGUGUAGCAGUGAAAUGCGUAGAUAUGCGGAGGAACACCGAUGGCGAAGGCAAUCCCCUGGGCCUGCACUGACGCUCAUGCACGAAAGCGUGGGGAGCAACAGG
RNAcentral lists this ribosomal RNA (252 nucleotides) under uncultured bacterium. RNAcentral's name for it is "partial 16S ribosomal RNA". It matches the Rfam family "Bacterial small subunit ribosomal RNA", at positions 524 to 775 of the family's 1533-position model. The record is from RNAcentral.